RNAcentral lists this ribosomal RNA (117 nucleotides) under Candidatus Shapirobacteria bacterium CG10_big_fil_rev_8_21_14_0_10_36_6. Lineage: Bacteria; Candidatus Shapironibacteriota. The record is from RNAcentral.
UCCGGUCAUGCGAGCGAGGUGGCACCACCUUUUCCCAUUCCGAACAGAGAAGUGAAACGCCUUAGCGCCGAUGAUAGUUCUUUCGCAAGGAGGAUUGAAAAUAGGUCGUGGCCGGAA